Molecule: long non-coding RNA, 207 nt
Filed under: Mytilus galloprovincialis (Mediterranean mussel)
Lineage: Eukaryota; Metazoa; Mollusca; Bivalvia; Mytilida; Mytilidae
Source: RNAcentral
AGCAUUAGAAACAACUUCCAUUGAUCCUACAAAAACAGAUACCAACAAUAACAACUUGUUAGGUUUAAAUGUGUUUUAUGAAUUUAUUUCCAUCUUAAUCAUCAAUUUCUUCGUCUGUUGAAACCUUUUCGAUUUUUUCUCAGUACCGUUUUGUUUUUAUAAAGGAACGUAACACCACUUCUAACCGUGUAUGAAAUAAGCCCCGCC